UUCUCCCUACAGGUGUCACUUAAGGAGAUCGUGCAGGAGAUUUACCCGGUACUCAUGGUCCAUGAAGACAUGUGUCACUGCACCUGCUUCUCACUGCACCUGGACAGCAACAUGCCAAACCACUUCCCAGGGCUGCGAAGCACUGAGGAGCUGCAGGAGGGCUCAGGGCUGUGCGUGAGGGAAGUGGGAAGUGAAAGAAUGGCUUGGAGAUGAGCCUCUUUCACUGUGUGCCACCUGAAUACAUCUUGCCAGGGACCCAGGAGGGGCCAUUGUAUCUCCAGAGCCAUGACUGGAAGCACUUUCAGUGCCUAAAAGUGCCUAGCAUGAGCAACUGGAACCCACUUCCUGGUAACUGCAAGAUGCAAGGGGACCUCAUGUACCUCUUUGCAAUUACAGACAAAGACCAGAAGGGCAGCAUCACUGCAUCCACGUGGGGCUCUUACUGGAUCCAGUCUACAGCCUAUCACUCAACCCCAAGCCCACCAGCCCCUGCUUCCUAAGCCAUUCCCCACUGGAGCUGCUCAAGUACAGCAGACUGAAUGUCACAAAACACUUUGUCAUGCCAUGAAAGAAAAGG
This 577-nucleotide long non-coding RNA is filed under the name Homo sapiens (human). RNAcentral describes it as "non-protein coding lnc-ALG10B-5:1". The record is from RNAcentral. Lineage: Eukaryota; Metazoa; Chordata; Mammalia; Primates; Hominidae.